GUCUACAGCCACACCACCCUGAACGGGCCGAUCUCAUCUGAUCUCGGAAGCUGGGCGGGGUCGGGCCUGGUUAGUACUUGGAUGGGAGGAUGCUCAACCUGUGUCCGAAUUACAUUGAAUAUAAAUUAACUUUUGAUU
This 138-nucleotide ribosomal RNA is filed under the name Microcebus murinus (gray mouse lemur). Lineage: Eukaryota; Metazoa; Chordata; Mammalia; Primates; Cheirogaleidae. The record is from RNAcentral.